Molecule: ribosomal RNA, 498 nt
Filed under: uncultured bacterium
Lineage: Bacteria
Description: bacterial SSU rRNA
Rfam family: Bacterial small subunit ribosomal RNA
Source: RNAcentral
UCAGGAUGAACGCUAGCGGCAGGCUAACACAUGCAAGUCGAGGGGCAACGCGAGUAGCAGUACUGGCGGCGACCGGCGCAAGGGUGCGUAACGCGUGAGCAACAUGCCCGUAUCAGGGGGAUAAUCCAGGGAAACUUGGUCUAAUACCCCAUAGUAAUUUUGUAAGGCAUCUUAUAAGAUUUAAAGCUUUGGUGGAUACGGAUUGGCUCGCGUGACAUUAGCUGGAUGGUAAGGUAACGGCUUACCAUGGCUAUGAUGUCUAGGGGUUCUGAGAGGAAGGUCCCCCACACUGGAACUGAGACACGGUCCAGACUCCUACGGGAGGCAGCAGUGAGGAAUAUUGGACAAUGGAUGGAAAUCUGAUCCAGCCAUGCCGCGUGAAGGAAAGAAGGUCCUAUGGAUUGUAAACUUCUUUUGUAUGGGAGCAAUAAGGCCUACGUGUAGGUUGAUGAGAGUACCAUACGAAUAAGCACCGGCUAACUCCGUGCCAGCAGCCGC